Molecule: long non-coding RNA, 1180 nt
Filed under: Apteryx haastii (Great spotted kiwi)
Lineage: Eukaryota; Metazoa; Chordata; Aves; Apterygiformes; Apterygidae
Description: lncRNA (ENSAHAG00000010488.1)
Source: RNAcentral
GGGGUCCCCCCGGCCCACGGCGCCUCCCCGCAGGUCGCGCCCGGUGCUGUGGGUGACGCCGCAGGUGACGUUCGCCCCCGAGCGGCUCCCGGCCGAGCCCUGGGGCUGCGACGACCCCGCGCAGGACGAAAACGCCACCGAGGCGGCAGGUGCCGGGUGCUGCGGCGGGCGCGGGGCGGCGGCGGGGUGCAAUGGGGUGCAAUGGGGUGCAAUGGGUGCAGCAGGGUGCAAAUGGGUGUUGCAAUGGGUGCAAUGCGUGCAGUGGGGUGCAAUGGAUUUUGCAAUGGGUGCAGCGGGGUGCAAUGGGUGGAAAUGGGUGCAAUGGGUGCAGGGGAUGCAGUGGGGUGCAAAUGGGCAGUGCAAUGGGUGCAAUGCAAGCAGUGGGUGCAAUGCGUGCAAAUGGGUGUUGCAAUGGGUGCAGUGCAUGCAAUGGGAUGCAGUGGGUGCAAUGGGCUUUGCAAUGGGUGCAGUGCGUGCAGAGGGGUGCAAUGGGUGUUGCAAUGGGUGUUGCAAUGGGUGGAAAUGGGCUUUGCAAUGGGUGCAAUGCAUACAGCAGGGUGCAAUGGGUGCAAAUCGGUGUUGCAAUGGGUGCAAUGCAUGCAGCGGGGUGCAAUGGGCUUUGCAAUGGGUGCAAUACAUGCAGUGGGGUGCAGUGGGUGCAAAUGGGCUUUGCAAUGGGUGCAGUGUGUGCAGUGGGGUGCAAUGGGUGCGAAUGGGCUUUGCAACGGGUGCAAUGGGUGCAGCGGGGUGCAAUGGGUGCAAAUGGGCGUUGCAACGGGCGCAUUGCACACAACGGGGGCGCCACGCACGUGAUGGGUGCAAAUGGGCUUUGCAACGGGGUGCGGUGCAUGCGGCAGAAGCAAUGGGUGCAGCGGGCGCAACGCACGCGACAGGCAUGAGGGGUGCAAGGGACGCAACGGGGUGCAACACAUGCAAUAGCUGCAACGGGUGCAACGCAUGCAACGGGUGCAAUGGGUGUGAUGCAUGCAGCAAAUGCAACGGGUGCAGUGCAUGCAACGGGUGCAAUGAGUGCAAUGCGUGCAACGGGUGCAAUGGGUGCAGUGCAUGCAACGGGUGCAGCGUAUGCAAUGGGUGCGAGGGGCGCGACGGGCACCCGAGGGUUCUGCAGCGGGUGCCACGCGUGCCACAGGUGCGGCGAGCGGGCCGGGGCGCCCCGGGG